CCUACGGGAGGCAGCAGUGAGGAAUAUUGGUCAAUGGACGAGAGUCUGAACCAGCCAAGUAGCGUGAAGGAUGACUGCCCUAUGGGUUGUAAACUUCUUUUAUAUGGGAAUAAAAUGUUCCACGUGUGGGAUUUUGUAUGUACCAUAUGAAUACGGAUCGGCUAACUCCGUGCCAGCCGCCGCGGUAAUACGGAGGUUCCGAGCGUUAUCCGGAUUUAUUGGGUUUAAAGGGAGCGUCGGUGGAUUGUUAAGUCAGUUGUGAAAGUUUGCGGCUCAACCGUAAAAUUGCAGUUGAAACUGGCAGUCUUGAGUACAGUAGAGGUGGGCGGAAUUCGUGGUGUAGCGGUGAAAUGCUUAGAUAUCACGAAGAACUCCGAUUGCGAAGGCAGCUCACUGGACUGCAACUGACACUGAGGCUCGAAAGUGUGGGUAUCAAACAGGAUUAGAUACCCGAGUAGUC
RNAcentral lists this ribosomal RNA (460 nucleotides) under uncultured bacterium. RNAcentral's name for it is "partial 16S ribosomal RNA". It matches the Rfam family "Bacterial small subunit ribosomal RNA", at positions 338 to 795 of the family's 1533-position model. The record is from RNAcentral.